CAGCACUGUGUUGUGACAAAGGGAAAGUACCACUUCAAGGUGUCUGGGCUCCCAAGCAACUGCUGUCUUGGAUAACACUCAUACAACUGGCAUUCCCACAUUUUCCCACUGACCUGCUGGAACCUCACAAAUUCAGCUCUAAUUCAAGUAAGGAAGGCUUUUUUUUCCCUUGCUGGAUGGGAAGAAGGAAAUCACCAAGGAAAGACAACUGUCAGGGGCAGGAAAGGAAGUCUGAAAUUGGAGCUGGAAGCAAGAAGUUCUGCCAAUGGUGAGAUGGAAUUGGUCCAACAGUGAAACAUGAAGAACAGAAGGCUUUUACCUGUUGCAAGAGACAUGUGACAAUCAGAGAUAAAAUAAGGACCCUGGGGCCUUGCUAUACAAUCAGACUGCACAUGCAGUGAGGGAGAAUAUACAGCAAAUGCAAAGUGAGAAGUCCUUCCUGUCUGUAU
Sturnus vulgaris (Common starling) is the source of this 449-nucleotide non-coding RNA. NCBI's taxonomy places the organism in Eukaryota, Metazoa, Chordata, Aves, Passeriformes, Sturnidae. The record is from RefSeq and is a predicted model, not a curated record.